Molecule: unclassified non-coding RNA, 290 nt
Filed under: plant metagenome
Description: partial contains small subunit ribosomal RNA, internal transcribed spacer 1, and 5.8S ribosomal RNA
Source: RNAcentral
UUUCCGUAGGUGAACCUGCGGAAGGAUCAUUAAUGAAUAAACUUGGUGGGUUGUAGCUGGCUCUUUGAAGCAUGUGCACGCUCAUCAUCUUUAUAUCUAUCCACCUGUGCACACUCUGUAGUCUUGAGGGAUUUGAGAAAGUGGAUCAAUUGAUUUUGGUCUAUCAGUAUCAUCUCUUUCGAGUUCUAUGUGUCUUCAUACACUACAUAGCCUGUCGCAGAAUGUAUUUAAUGGGCCUUUGUGCCUAUAAAAAGUUUAUACAACUUUCAGCAACGGAUCUCUUGGCUCUC